AGAGUGGUGUAAAAAAAUAGGAAAUGGGGGUUCAGAAACAAGAAAUGUCACAUACAGGCAGAAGCAAAAGAAAAGGCUUUUUGGAUCCUGUUCUGUUUAAACUGAGUCUUUCAAGGAUGGCAGGACUUGGAGAUGUAGACAUGGAGAAGAAGGUGUUCAGGACACAAAGAACAAGAGCUGGGACAACACGUGGGCUGGAAAAGGAUGGAAUAGGUAUGGAGUUGACACAUUUAAUGGAGAGACUGCUCCAUUUGCCCCAUCAGAGGUAUCCAGUGGCAGACAUACCUUCCAGUAAACUUGGAGGUGAUAUUAGAAGAAGCUUCCAGCACCUCUGCUGAGCAAGACAGGUUUGGCUCCUUGCAGAAUGUUCUGGUAAUAAUCUGCUGAUUUCAUGAAGGAAUUUGCAAGUUUAAUUUUAAAGAUCUGGAAUAUUUUAAACAGCACUGGAACUUGUUGUUCAGUUCUGAGUCAUGUCUGACUCUUUGGCCCCAUGAACUGCAGCACUCAGGCUUCCCUGUUCCUUCACUGUCUCCUGGAGUUUGCUCAGAUUCAUGUCAAUUGAAUCAGUGAUGCUAUCUAACCAAUUUAUCCUCUGCUGCCCUCUUCUCCUUUUGCCUUCAAACUUUCCUAGCAUCAG
Molecule: long non-coding RNA, 637 nt
Filed under: Bos indicus x Bos taurus (hybrid cattle)
Lineage: Eukaryota; Metazoa; Chordata; Mammalia; Artiodactyla; Bovidae
Description: lncRNA (ENSBIXG00000023749.1)
Source: RNAcentral